This 767-nucleotide ribosomal RNA is filed under the name Daldinia loculata. Its description in RNAcentral is "eukaryotic LSU rRNA". The stretch from base 182 to 767 matches the Rfam family "Eukaryotic large subunit ribosomal RNA", at positions 1 to 596 of the family's 3401-position model. Lineage: Eukaryota; Fungi; Ascomycota; Sordariomycetes; Xylariales; Hypoxylaceae. The record is from RNAcentral.
AUUCGAGCGUCAUUUCAACCCUUAAGCCUAGUUGCUUAGUGUUGGGAAUCUGCCCUGUAUUUAUAGGGCAGUUCCUUAAAGUGAUCGGCGGAGUUAGGGCAUACUCUAAGCGUAGUAAUAUUCUUCUCGCUUCUGUAGUUGUCCUGGCGGCUUGCCGUUAAACCCCUAUAUUUCUAGUGGUUGACCUCGGAUUAGGUAGGAAUACCCGCUGAACUUAAGCAUAUCAAUAAGCGGAGGAAAAGAAACCAACAGGGAUUGCCCUAGUAACGGCGAGUGAAGCGGCAACAGCUCAAAUUUGAAAUCUGGCCCUAGCGGUCCGAGUUGUAAUUUGUAGAGGAUGCUUUUGGUUAGGUGCCUUCUGAGUUCCCUGGAACGGGACGCCAGAGAGGGUGAGAGCCCCGUACGGUUGGACACCGAGCCUCUAUAUAGCUCCUUCGACGAGUCGAGUAGUUUGGGAAUGCUGCUCUAAAUGGGAGGUAAAUUUCUUCUAAAGCUAAAUACCGGCCAGAGACCGAUAGCGCACAAGUAGAGUGAUCGAAAGAUGAAAAGUACUUUGAAAAGAGGGUUAAAUAGCACGUGAAAUUGUUGAAAGGGAAGCGUUUGCGACCAGACUUUUUCCAGGCGGAUCAUCCGGUGUUCUCACCGGUGCACUUCGCCUGGUUUAGGCCAGCAUCGGUUCUCUUAGGGGGAUAAAGGCCUGGGGAACGUAGCUCCUUCGGGAGUGUUAUAGCCCCUAGCGUAAUACCCUUCGGGGGACCGAGGAACGC